UCGUUUAGUUUAUUUGAUAGUCCCUUACUACUUGGAUAACCGUAGUAAUUCUAGAGCUAAUACAUGUCGUCAAUACCCUUCUGGGGUAGUAUUUAUUAGAUUGAAACCAACCCCUCACGGGUGAUGUGCCGAUUCAUAAUAAAGUUGCCAAUCUCACGGCUUUGCUGGCGAUGGAUCAUUCAAGUUUCUGCCCUAUCCCCCUUGCAUGCUCCGGUAUUGGCCUACCAUGGCUUUAACGGGAAUCGGAGGAUUAUGAUUUGAUUCCCGACAUGGACACUGACAGACGCCCACCCCGUACGAUGAAGGCAUCUCGCUCGCUAUCUCACUCCAUCUCGCACAGAGGGUAGUCAAUCAUGGCCACAACAAUGCUCGGACCCCGAGGAUCGGCACUCGAACUCCCAACAUGUCAAUGGACCUACUGCGCUUCUUCAGCCGAGCCAUAUUCCUUACCAUCAUUCUCCCUCUCCCCUCUCUUCCAAUGCUAGCUUAUGCAUGUAGCAUGUAUUUAUCUCACCUUAACCUUUGCGCCGCCUUCUUUGACCCUCCUCCUGGGUCAGACCCUAUCUUCCUCCAACGCUUAGUUUUGAAUCUUUGCCCUCCCCUACUUACUUGUACUUACACCUCCCGGUUUCGACUUCAACUCCCCACUUUUCACCCAACCUCUCUCUUUUCCACCCACCCUUUGGCUCCCUCCGAUUGUAUGUACCCCCGUCAUCUCUUCUUCCAAUCUCAAGCCUCUUCUUGUACUUAUCCCCACACAAUGCCUUCCGCAGCUCUUCUCCAUUACCCCUCCCUUUACUCACUAACCCAGUCCCCCCUCCGAAUUAUCGCCCAUCCCUAACAAAACUUAUUGAUUCUCUCCUCUUUUUACCUACUUUUCUAAAGCCUCCCUCUUUCUACAUACACAAAUGCCCCACCCCAUCCCAUCCUCUUAUUUA
This 938-nucleotide ribosomal RNA is filed under the name uncultured eukaryote. RNAcentral's name for it is "partial 18S ribosomal RNA". The stretch from base 1 to 268 matches the Rfam family "Eukaryotic small subunit ribosomal RNA", at positions 110 to 387 of the family's 1831-position model. The record is from RNAcentral.